RNAcentral lists this ribosomal RNA (476 nucleotides) under uncultured eukaryote. Its description in RNAcentral is "bacterial SSU rRNA". It matches the Rfam family "Eukaryotic small subunit ribosomal RNA", at positions 626 to 1050 of the family's 1831-position model. The record is from RNAcentral.
AUGGGUUUCUUCCUACUAGAGUUCGAUUCUGUUCUUAAUUGAAUGGAGUAGCUAUCUUUCGGGGUGGUCAAUUGGUUGUUAUAUCUCCACUAAUAAGCAGAGAGGGGUAAAACCUUCAAAGUAAGUUAUGUGGGUCAAGGUAUGAUGAUUAAUUGGAGUUCUAGUUCAUUUACUUUGAGAAAAUUAGAGUGUUUAAAGCAGCCUCUUGGGGCACUGAAUACAUUAGCAUGGGAUAAUAAAAUAGGAUCUUCACAAUAUAUUUUAUUGGUUUAAAUUGCGUAUGAAGAUAAUGAUUAAUAGGGACAGUUGGGGGUAUUCAUAUUGGGUGGUUAGCGGUGAAAUGCUCGGAUCCAUUCAAGAUGAACUAAAGCGAAGGCAUUUACCAAGGAUGUUUUCAUUAAUCAAGAACGAAAGUUAAGGGGAUCGAAGACGAUUAGAUACCGUCGUAGUCUUAACUAUAAACUAUGCCGACCAGG